AUUCCAGCUCCAAUAGCGUAUAUUAAAGUUGUUGCAGUUAAAAAGCUCGUAGUUGGAUUUCUGGCGGGAGUCCGGGUCGGCCUUAACGGGUUGCACUGUUGUGACGUCUCGCCGUUUCGAGGGGAAUGGGCUCGCUAUUAGGUUAGUGUGUUCGGGAACCUCGUCGUUUACUGUGAAAAAAUUAGAGUGUUCAAAGCAGGCCUUUGCUGUGAAUACAUUAGCAUGGAAUAAUAAGAUAGGACUGUAGUGCUAUUUUGUUGGUUUGCGUACUAUGGUAAUGAUUAAUAGGGAUAGUUGGGGGUAUUCAUAUUCAAUUGUCAGAGGUGAAAUUCUUGGAUUUAUGGAAGAUGAACUACUGCGAAGCAUUUACCAAGGAUGUUUUCAUUG
This 387-nucleotide ribosomal RNA is filed under the name Stramenopiles sp. MAST-7B. RNAcentral describes it as "partial small subunit ribosomal RNA". It matches the Rfam family "Eukaryotic small subunit ribosomal RNA", at positions 582 to 975 of the family's 1831-position model. The record is from RNAcentral.